AGCUAUAUAGUUUAAUUAAAACUUUAAUUUUGUAAAUUAAAAAUAAUUUAUUAAUUUAUAGCUU
This 64-nucleotide transfer RNA is filed under the name Parevania sp. ZJUH_2016024. Its description in RNAcentral is "tRNA-Thr". The record is from RNAcentral. Lineage: Eukaryota; Metazoa; Arthropoda; Insecta; Hymenoptera; Evaniidae.